Molecule: long non-coding RNA, 109 nt
Organism: Aethalodelphis obliquidens (Pacific white-sided dolphin)
Lineage: Eukaryota; Metazoa; Chordata; Mammalia; Artiodactyla; Delphinidae
Exons: 3
Source: RefSeq, a predicted model, not a curated record
AGAAUAUGGGUUAGUGUUAGGAUAUGGCUUAGGAUUAGGGUACUGGUUAGGGUUAGGGUUAGGGUUAGGGAUAGGCUUCAGGUAUGGGUACGGUUUAGGGUACACGUUA